GACGAACGCUGGCGGCGUGCUUAACACAUGCAAGUCGAACGGAAAGGCCCUGCUUUUGUUGGGUGCUCGAGUGGCGAACGGGUGAGUAACACGGGAGUAACCUGCCCUUUACUUUGGGAUAACUUCAGGAAACUGGGGCUAAUACCGGAUAGGAGCUCCUGCUGCAUGGGGUGGGUUGGAAAGUUUCGGCGGUUGGGGAUGGACUCGCGGCUUAGCAGCUUGUUGGUGGGGUAGUGGCUUACCAAGGCUUUGACGGGUAGCCGGCCUGAGAGGGUGACCGGCCACCUUGGGACUGCGAUACGGCCCAGACUCCUACGGGCGGCAGCAGUGGGGAAUAUUGCACAAUGGGCGGACGCCUGAUGCAGCAACGCCGCGUGCGUGAUGCCGGCCUUCGGGUUGUAAACCGCUUUCGCAUGUGACGAAGCGUGAGUGACGGUAAUGGGUAAAGAAGCACCGGCUAACUACGUG
RNAcentral lists this ribosomal RNA (468 nucleotides) under uncultured bacterium. Its description in RNAcentral is "partial 16S ribosomal RNA". It matches the Rfam family "Bacterial small subunit ribosomal RNA", at positions 28 to 507 of the family's 1533-position model. The record is from RNAcentral.